Cucumis melo (muskmelon) is the source of this 276-nucleotide non-coding RNA. The record is from RefSeq and is marked provisional. Lineage: Eukaryota; Viridiplantae; Streptophyta; Magnoliopsida; Cucurbitales; Cucurbitaceae.
GUGUUUGGAAUGGAGUUUGCUCCGAAAUCUUUUUUUUGUCAAUCCUUUUGAAAGGAGAAGAAAUAAAACUACAUGUCAAUGUCUUUUCCUGUCAUUUUUUCUUAAGUUUUCUUUCUUGCUUUCUUCUUUAUGAUCUUCAAAAUUGUUAUUCUAUGUUGUUUUUUUCCCUGACUAAAAGUAGUCUUUUUCUUCUUCUUCCUCUUAUUUGAAAGUUUGUUCGUGUUGAAUAAAUGGAAAAACUGAUCUCGGACCAGGCUUCAUUCCUCACACGUACCU